This 440-nucleotide ribosomal RNA is filed under the name uncultured bacterium. Its description in RNAcentral is "bacterial SSU rRNA". It matches the Rfam family "Bacterial small subunit ribosomal RNA", at positions 338 to 776 of the family's 1533-position model. The record is from RNAcentral.
CCUACGGGAGGCAGCAGUAGGGAAUAUUGGGCAAUGGUCGGAAGACUGACCCAGCCAUGCCGCGUGCAGGAAGAAGGCCUUCUGGGUUGUAAACUGCUUUUAUCUAGGAAGAAAACGCCCAUGCGUGGGAAACUGACGGUACUAGAUGAAUAAGCACCGGCUAACUCCGUGCCAGCAGCCGCGGUAAUACGGAGGGUGCAAGCGUUGUCCGGAUUUAUUGGGUUUAAAGGGUGCGUAGGCGGCCUUUUAAGUCAGUGGUGAAAGCCCAUAGCUCAACUAUGGAACUGCCAUUGAUACUGAAAGGCUUGAGUACAGACGAGGUAGGCGGAAUUGAUGGUGUAGCGGUGAAAUGCAUAGAUACCAUCAAGAACACCGAUUGCGUAGGCAGCUUACUAGGCUGUAACUGACGCUGAGGCACGAAAGCGUGGGGAGCGAACAGG